RNAcentral lists this ribosomal RNA (253 nucleotides) under uncultured bacterium. RNAcentral's name for it is "partial 16S ribosomal RNA". It matches the Rfam family "Bacterial small subunit ribosomal RNA", at positions 524 to 776 of the family's 1533-position model. The record is from RNAcentral.
UACGUAGGGGGCUAGCGUUGUCCGGAUUUAUUGGGCGUAAAGAGCGUGUAGGCGGCCAGGUAGGUCUGCUGUGAAAACUCGAGGCUCAACCUCGAGACGUCGGCGGAAACCAUCUGGCUAGAGUCCGGAAGAGGAGAGUGGAAUUCCUGGUGUAGCGGUGAAAUGCGCAGAUAUCAGGAGGAACACCGGUGGCGAAGGCGGCAUCCUGGACCAACACUGACACUGAGGAGCGAAAGCCAGGGGAGCAAACGGG